RNAcentral lists this transfer RNA (75 nucleotides) under Actinomycetota bacterium. Its description in RNAcentral is "tRNA-Asp". It matches the Rfam family "tRNA". Rfam says of the family: Transfer RNA (tRNA) molecules are approximately 80 nucleotides in length. Their secondary structure includes four short double-helical elements and three loops (D, anti-codon, and T loops). RNAcentral also lists the same sequence under 1 other name. Lineage: Bacteria; Bacillati; Actinomycetota. The record is from RNAcentral.
GCCCCUGUAGAGCAGUCUGGAGUGCUCGUCACCCUGUCAAGGUGAAGGUCGCCGGUUCAAGUCCGGUCAGGGGCG